UGCCCUUAUCUCCCGCUUUUCUUUUCCUUAUUUCGUUUCAUCCCCAAUUGUUUUCCAUCUUUUACCAAACAAGGCUGGAGUCUUCGUUCCUGUCUUCGCGCCGCUCUCUCCCAAAUUACCACCUUCAAUUGGCCACAAUUGUUCAAUCGGCCACCAGCUUUGAGCCCACUAAUCCUUGAUUGAAUGUUGCCCUAAUUGAAUUCCAAAAUCCCGUGGUCUACCUCUCUUUUAUCUCGCUUUUUUUUUUUCAAAACCCAGUUCUGCUUUCUCACCUCCAGUCGCUGCCGUCCAUUUGUCCGGGUCUCCACCACCGUGUAUCCGCUUGAGUGCCGCUGUCGCAUGUGACUUAUUGCUCCUUUCGACCCAUAAAGAAGAAGGUCGCGAUUCAAGAUUCAGCAGAAGAAGAGACUGUUGAUAAUCUGUCUGAGAAAACUGAGAGCCUAUCUGGGAAAAAAAUUCAGCAAUCUAUUGUUUAUGUAAAUUAAUUCUGCCAUCUAAUGUUCAUGAUUUCCUGUACAUAGUUCCUUGUCCACAUUUUUAUUGGACGGCAAUUGUGCUAUGAUGCUGUGUAUGUUUACUGAAUUCUGUAGUUUCUGAUGGUCUUGAAACUUCAUUUGAUGGUUA
Long non-coding RNA from Olea europaea var. sylvestris, 624 nucleotides. RefSeq lists it as uncharacterized. The record is from RefSeq and is a predicted model, not a curated record. The transcript has 2 exons. NCBI's taxonomy places the organism in Eukaryota, Viridiplantae, Streptophyta, Magnoliopsida, Lamiales, Oleaceae.